GAUGAACGCUGGCGGCGUGCUUAACACAUGCAAGUCGAACGGAAAGGCCCAAGCUUGCUUGGGUACUCGAGUGGCGAACGGGUGAGAAACACGUGGGUGAUCCGUCCUGUACUUCGGGAUAAGCCUGGGAAACUGGGUCUACUACCGGAUAGGACCACUUCGUAGUGGUUGUGGUGGAAAGUUCUUGCGGUGUGGGAUGAGCUCGCGGCCUAUCAGCUUGUUGGUGGGGUAAUGGCCUACCAAGGCGUCGACGGGUAGCCGGCCUGAGAGGGUGUACGGCCACAUUGGGACGGAAGUACGGAGCAGACUCCUACGGGCGGCAGCAGGGAGGAUUAUUGCACAAUGGGCGGAAGCCUGAUGCAGCGACGCGGCGGGGAAGAUGGCGGCCUUCGGGUUAAAAGCUCCUUUCGCCAAAGACGAAUUUAUGACGGUAUCUGGAGAAGAAGCACCGGCUAACUACGUG
This 463-nucleotide ribosomal RNA is filed under the name uncultured bacterium. Its description in RNAcentral is "partial 16S ribosomal RNA". It matches the Rfam family "Bacterial small subunit ribosomal RNA", at positions 28 to 507 of the family's 1533-position model. The record is from RNAcentral.